AACAUGCAGUCGAGCGCCCCUUCGGGGGAGCGGCAGACGGGUGAGUAAUGCAUGGGAAUCUACCCAGCUCUACGGAAUAACUCAGGGAAACUUGAACUAAUACCGUAUGCGCCCUUCGGGGGAAAGAUUUAUCGGAGUUGGAUGAGCCCAUGUCUGAUUAGCUAGUUGGUGGGGUAAAGGCCUACCAAGGCGACGAUCAGUAGCUGGUCUGAGAGGAUGAUCAGCCACACUGGGACUGAGACACGGCCCAGACUCCUACGGGAGGCAGCAGUGGGGAAUAUUGGACAAUGGGGGCAACCCUGAUCCAGCCAUGCCGCGUGAGUGAUGAAGGCCCUAGGGUUGUAAAGCUCUUUCACCGGUGAAGAUAAUGACGGUAACCGGAGAAGAAGCCCCGGCUAACUUCGUGCCAGCACCCGGGGGAAAUAAAAACUUUACCUACAGAAGAACCACCGGCUAAUGU
RNAcentral lists this ribosomal RNA (460 nucleotides) under Nitratireductor aquibiodomus NL21 = JCM 21793. Its description in RNAcentral is "bacterial SSU rRNA". It matches the Rfam family "Bacterial small subunit ribosomal RNA", at positions 52 to 537 of the family's 1533-position model. Lineage: Bacteria; Pseudomonadati; Pseudomonadota; Alphaproteobacteria; Hyphomicrobiales; Phyllobacteriaceae. The record is from RNAcentral.